AGGGGAGUCGCCAAGUGGAUAAGGCUCCGGGAGUGAUCCGGCAUGCGAGGGUUCGAGUCCUUCCUCCCCUGCCA
RNAcentral lists this transfer RNA (74 nucleotides) under Ramlibacter rhizophilus. RNAcentral describes it as "tRNA-OTHER". It matches the Rfam family "tRNA". Rfam says of the family: Transfer RNA (tRNA) molecules are approximately 80 nucleotides in length. Their secondary structure includes four short double-helical elements and three loops (D, anti-codon, and T loops). The record is from RNAcentral. Lineage: Bacteria; Pseudomonadati; Pseudomonadota; Betaproteobacteria; Burkholderiales; Comamonadaceae.